AUCGAAGCUCAAACCUAUAAAUGAACAUGAAUUAAUGAUCACCUACACAAGGGGAUCAUGAGGGAUCAUGUCAAGAUGGAUGGAAGCAUGGAAGGCUAAAGGGUCAAAAGGAAGCAAGGAAACGGAUACGAAUACAAACGUUUAAGGUAUACUAUUGUGUCCUUAUGAAGAUUUGAUGAUUGGAUGCAAGAUUGUACCCGGAAAGAUAAACAUAAAAGAAUAGAAUGAAUAGAAGAAUGCGGAAUGUUCAUUUAGUUGCGUAUGUCUAGAUUAAGAAUGAUGUCAACAAAUAUUAAUGACGCGCAUGUAUGUGGUGAUUGCAGGUUGCACGGAAGUAACAUC
This is a long non-coding RNA of Helianthus annuus (common sunflower), 342 nucleotides long. RefSeq lists it as uncharacterized. The transcript has 3 exons. NCBI's taxonomy places the organism in Eukaryota, Viridiplantae, Streptophyta, Magnoliopsida, Asterales, Asteraceae. The record is from RefSeq and is a predicted model, not a curated record.